This 1676-nucleotide ribosomal RNA is filed under the name Salmonella enterica subsp. enterica serovar Heidelberg str. 92-0144. RNAcentral's name for it is "bacterial LSU rRNA". It matches the Rfam family "Bacterial large subunit ribosomal RNA", at positions 1273 to 2925 of the family's 2925-position model. Lineage: Bacteria; Pseudomonadati; Pseudomonadota; Gammaproteobacteria; Enterobacterales; Enterobacteriaceae. The record is from RNAcentral.
CUGGAGGUAUCAGAAGUGCGAAUGCUGACAUAAGUAACGAUAAAGCGGGUGAAAAGCCCGCUCGCCGGAAGACCAAGGGUUCCUGUCCAACGUUAAUCGGGGCAGGGUGAGUCGACCCCUAAGGCGAGGCCGAAAGGCGUAGUCGAUGGGAAACGGGUUAAUAUUCCCGUACUUGGUGUUACUGCGAAGGGGGGACGGAGAAGGCUAUGUUGGCCGGGCGACGGUUGUCCCGGUUUAAGCGUGUAGGUGUGUGUUCCAGGUAAAUCCGGUUCACUUUAACACUGAGGCGUGACGACGAGGCACUACGGUGCUGAAGCAACAAAUGCCCUGCUUCCAGGAAAAGCCUCUAAGCAUCAGGUAACAUCAAAUCGUACCCCAAACCGACACAGGUGGUCAGGUAGAGAAUACCAAGGCGCUUGAGAGAACUCGGGUGAAGGAACUAGGCAAAAUGGUGCCGUAACUUCGGGAGAAGGCACGCUGACACGUAGGUGAAGUGAUUUACUCAUGGAGCUGAAGUCAGUCGAAGAUACCAGCUGGCUGCAACUGUUUAUUAAAAACACAGCACUGUGCAAACACGAAAGUGGACGUAUACGGUGUGACGCCUGCCCGGUGCCGGAAGGUUAAUUGAUGGGGUCAGCGCAAGCGAAGCUCCUGAUCGAAGCCCCGGUAAACGGCGGCCGUAACUAUAACGGUCCUAAGGUAGCGAAAUUCCUUGUCGGGUAAGUUCCGACCUGCACGAAUGGCGUAAUGAUGGCCAGGCUGUCUCCACCCGAGACUCAGUGAAAUUGAACUCGCUGUGAAGAUGCAGUGUACCCGCGGCAAGACGGAAAGACCCCGUGAACCUUUACUAUAGCUUGACACUGAACAUUGAGCCUUGAUGUGUAGGAUAGGUGGGAGGCUUUGAAGUGUGGACGCCAGUCUGCAUGGAGCCGACCUUGAAAUACCACCCUUUAAUGUUUGAUGUUCUAACGUGGACCCGUUACCCGGGUUGCGGACAGUGUCUGGUGGGUAGUUUGACUGGGGCGGUCUCCUCCUAAAGAGUAACGGAGGAGCACGAAGGUUGGCUAAUCCUGGUCGGACAUCAGGAGGUUAGUGCAAUGGCAUAAGCCAGCUUGACUGCGAGCGUGACGGCGCGAGCAGGUGCGAAAGCAGGUCAUAGUGAUCCGGUGGUUCUGAAUGGAAGGGCCAUCGCUCAACGGAUAAAAGGUACUCCGGGGAUAACAGGCUGAUACCGCCCAAGAGUUCAUAUCGACGGCGGUGUUUGGCACCUCGAUGUCGGCUCAUCACAUCCUGGGGCUGAAGUAGGUCCCAAGGGUAUGGCUGUUCGCCAUUUAAAGUGGUACGCGAGCUGGGUUUAGAACGUCGUGAGACAGUUCGGUCCCUAUCUGCCGUGGGCGCUGGAGAACUGAGGGGGGCUGCUCCUAGUACGAGAGGACCGGAGUGGACGCAUCACUGGUGUUCGGGUUGUCAUGCCAAUGGCACUGCCCGGUAGCUAAAUGCGGAAGAGAUAAGUGCUGAAAGCAUCUAAGCACGAAACUUGCCCCGAGAUGAGUUCUCCCUGAGACUUAGAGUCUCCUGAAGGAACGUUGAAGACGACGACGUUGAUAGGCCGGGUGUGUAAGCGCAGCGAUGCGUUGAGCUAACCGGUACUAAUGAACCGUGAGGCUUAACCUUAC